CAUAAUCAUUAGUUUUUUAAUUGAAAACUCGUAUGAAUGGUUGAACAAAAGAAUCACUGUCUCUUUCAGUAAUUUGAAUUUAACUUUUAAGUGAAAAGGCUUAAAUACAUCAAGGGGACGAUAAGACCCUAUAAAGCUUAUAUCAAUAAUUGAAAUUCUUUAGAAUUAAUAAAUAAAAAUUUUAAUUAUUCAUUUUGUUGGGGCGACAUAGAUAUAAAUAAAAAUAACUGUUAAUCAUCCAAACAAUAAUGAUUGAUUCAUAAUUGGUCCUUUAUAAAGAUUAUAAGACAAAGUUACUUUAGGGAUAACAGCGUUAUUCUUUUUGAGAGUUCUAAUCGAAAAAAGAGUUUGCGACCUCGAUGUUGAAUCAUAAAAUCUCUAUAGUGCAGCAGUUAUAGGAG
RNAcentral lists this ribosomal RNA (401 nucleotides) under Pitho lherminieri. RNAcentral's name for it is "partial 16S ribosomal RNA". It matches the Rfam family "Archaeal large subunit ribosomal RNA", at positions 2037 to 2640 of the family's 2987-position model. Lineage: Eukaryota; Metazoa; Arthropoda; Malacostraca; Decapoda; Mithracidae. The record is from RNAcentral.